Molecule: ribosomal RNA, 393 nt
Filed under: uncultured bacterium
Lineage: Bacteria
Description: bacterial SSU rRNA
Rfam family: Bacterial small subunit ribosomal RNA
Source: RNAcentral
UAAUACGGAGGAUCCGAGCGUUAUCCGGAUUUACUGGGUUUAAAGGGUGCGUAGGCGGGUCGUUAAGUCGGCGGUGAAAUGCGGGGGCUCAACCUUCGAGCUGCCGCCGAAACUGGCGACCUUGAAUUCGGUCGAGGCUGGCGGAAUGCGUGGUGUAGCGGUGAAAUGCUUAGAUAUCACGCGGAACGCCGAUUGCGAAGGCAGCUGGCCGGGCCGAGAUUGACGCUGAGGCACGAAAGCGUGGGGAUCAAACAGGAUUAGAUACCCUGGUAGUCCACGCCGUAAACGAUGAUCACUGGAUGUUGGCGAUACACCGUCAGCGUCUGAGCGAAAGCAUUAAGUGAUCCACCUGGGGAGUACGGUCGCAAGAUUGAAACUUAAAUGAAUUGACGG